RNAcentral lists this non-coding RNA (557 nucleotides) under Pongo abelii (Sumatran orangutan). The record is from RNAcentral. Lineage: Eukaryota; Metazoa; Chordata; Mammalia; Primates; Hominidae.
CCUCCGGGAGCUUUUAAAAAUCCUGAUGCCCACGCCACUCCCCAGAUCAUUCAUUCACAAGCUCUGCGGGUGGGUCCCGGCAUCAGGAUUUUGUAUAGCUUCCUCAGUGGUUUCAAGCUGCUGCUAACUUAACACCCUACACUGUAGACUGAUUUUUGCCAGAAUCAGCAGGGUGUAGAGAAGCAAGGGAGAAGAAACAAGACCUUUAGGAACUGUUAGCCUGACACUAGGGCCAAACUCUCUUGAGGAAUUCAAAUUAUUGUCACCUUUAAUUUUUUUCCCCACAGCAAAUACAGCCAACAUAAAUGUCAAUUAAUUAAUUGAAAAAUGUACCCAAAGCUGAGCAAUGUAAGGCCCUCUAGCCUGGAACCGUUUGCUUUUCAAAGUUGAGUGUGGUGUUUUUGUCCUGGCCUGUUGCUGACUAGCAUAUAUUUUUAAAAUCAUGAUCCUUUAAGAUAUGUGCCAAGAGAUAAUGUUUUUAUUAAAUCAAAAUGCUGUAUAGAUAUUAAUGACUUAGUUGUGGAACAUGUCAUUAAAAAAUAGUUGUCUUCUCUUUG